AUCCAAUAUUCUAAAUCAGCUACACUUUCUUUUAGGUUUCUAACACACAUGUUGCUGCUGUCCCGGUCCACAGCAAAGCUUCAUCCACUGCAGGAGAUACAACGGUUUGGGAUUUUAAAACUAUCCCUUUAAGGCCAAUAAAAUGAAAUGUGACCUUUGCUUGGCAUCAUUCCAUUACUGUCACGUUCUCUUGUCUUCUUCUCUUAUCUUUUUUUGCUCGUUCAUCAUUUCACUCUCCUCCCUCUUGCAUCGAAACCACCGGUCAGGAUCACGGACGAGCAGGUCGCCGCCGAACAUCCUCGCUGCCCGAGGACCAAACGGGACCCGCGGCCCAAAAAUAAGCCGGGACAUUUUUUGGGACGCCUUUGAUGGGCUGCAGGAAACAACUAAUCCUCAUAACAAAUGUCCUGAGUGAAGAGGAAGAUGGUUUUGGACCAUCAUCAGAGCGAAGAGCGAUCCGGCCAUGUGCUCUCCGUAUGCUUCACACAGCUGACUCUGGAUUUCCGCUGUGAUGCUUCAAACGGGCACGUCUCUCCCCAUCAUUCUUCCACUAUCGCCGCCUCUUCACAAGUUUAAAGCCUCACGGACUCAAAGAGAGCCGCAAAGGAAAAAGUAGAUACCAGGAAGUGUGUGUGUGUGUGUGUGUGUGUGUGUGUGUGUGUGUGUGUGUGUGUGUGUGUGUGUGUGAGAGAGGCAGGAUGGAAUGAGGGGAAGUCAGACCAGAUGAGAGACAUCGACUGACGCAAAAGAGAGAAGGUUGAAUUCACCUUUAUGCAGGUUGCUCUAUUUGAUGUUUAACAAGUAGCUGCACAAAAAAUAUUAUUAUAUAUAUUAAGUAUUUAAGCGAUAUAUUGAGCUGUUUAUCUGGGAAAUGUUUCGGAUUUAGGAGAUACAUUUUAGAGCGUCUUAAGAGGAGAAAACACGAAAGGGGAAGAAAAGUUAGCGGAUCGAUUAUCGGAGGGAUGCAAAGCUCAAUCCUCAGAUUCUGCUGUGAGCAGUGCAGCCUGAGGUGAAGAUACAAAAAGUAACUGGUUCCAAACGCAAAGGUUUAACGUAACGAGGAGACACAGACGGGAGACGAGGCCAAAGGGCUCGGGGGGUCAUUGCAGGGCGCUCUGCGUCUCAUCCGAGGCUCCGGGCGGAUUAAGACUUCGCUCUGCGGCAUCGGACCGUCUGCAGGUCGUUUAUCAGACGAGAUGUUGGGAGACGAGAUGACGCACGGCGAGGGACGUUGCACCACAGAGGCUCUCGUUGCUUUUGACGUUGAGUUAUUAUCGAUUUAACCACCAACAACGUGGAUUCAGGAAGACUUGGGACAUGGAAUUGAUUGAAUUUAGUUUUCAUUGUGUGUGUUUGUGUGUCUUUACGUGCCCAAAUACAGGAUCUGGUUUUACAAAUCUGUGACUCAAGUGCACUUUAUGAAAUGGACUUUCUUGUAAAAGUAUAAUUAGGCAGAGUUCCUGGUCGUGGUCACGAAUGUGCCGAGGCGGCUGAGCUGGUGGCCCUUCUUCUGCUUGUUCCACAGACCGAAGUCAAAGCAAACAGGACUGAGACACAUUAAAAUAAAAGCAUUAUCGGCAUAUCUUCAGGUGAGAGGGAGAGUUGUAACAUCUCCCAGCUGCUAGAGAGCAAACCGUGAGGCAUUACUCUCGGUUUGAGUCUGCGAAACGAGAGAAACGUCCUGGUUAAGGAACGCAGAGGUUUAUGGAAUCCUCCAGGGAGCGCGGAGCAGCACUAACAUCUUGUCUCGUGAACAACACUCACAACACUUGACAACAUUACACGGAGGAGCUUUUUCCCCGGGAGCUAAAUCAGUGAAGUAUUUAUCUCCUCAUUUUCCAGAUCAUUUGAACCUUUGUGGAGGCGCGACGGAGAUGUAAACACAGCCUCCCACCGUGGAGCGGAAAAUGUCUCCUGCUCUAUUUCGUGUUCCUCCACAGGCAACAAAGUGGGUCCCUCAAACUGACGCUUAAUACUACAGCGUGGGACGAGAAGAACAAUUGGUGGCAUCCAGCUUUUUCUCCUUGAUCCCUUCUUGGAACAGAAGAGAGCACCUGCACACCUUUACAAAGGCUGACUCCAUGUCGCCUCGUGGUCCUCUGGAUGUCCCUGUGGAUGUCCCUCUAGAUGUCCCUCAGGUUGUCUCUCUGGCUGUUCCUCUGGAUGUCCCCCUGGAUGUCCCUGUGGAUGUCACUCUAGAUGUCACUCAGGUUGUCUCUCUGGAUGUUCCUCUGGAUGUCCCUCAGGUUGUCUCUCUGGAUGUUCCUCUGGAUGUCCCCCUGGAUGUCCCUCUAGAUGUCCCUCUAGAUGUCCCUCAGGUUGUCUCUCUGGAUGUUCCUCUGGAUGUCCCUCAGGUUGUCUCUCUGGAUGUUCCUCUGGAUGUCCCCCUGGAUGUCCCUCUGGAUGUCACCCUGGAUGUUCCUCUGGAUGUUCCUCUGGAUGUCCCUCUAGAUGUCCCUCAGGUUGUCUCUCUGGAUGUUCCUCUGUAUGUCCCUCAGGUUGUCUCUCUGGAUGUUCCUCUGGAUGUUCCUCUGGAUGUCCCUCAGGUUGUCUCUCUGGAUGUUCCACUGGAUGUCCCCCUGGAUGUUCCCCUGGAUGUCCCUCUGGAUGUUCCAGGAGAUGAGGAGCAGAGGACCAGCAGCAUCCUCGCUGCACAGCAACGUGUGUGUGAUGCACAUAAACUAGCAUGUAACUCUACAUGUGAUUCCCAUCGUUGUCACAUAUUUCCAGUCAGUAUGUUGAUUGUUUGUGGAAAUGAAUUCGGGACUUGAAACCCUUUCCACAGACUCCAUGGGCCACAUUGUGUGCGGUAUAAACACAGCUAGAUACACUCGACCACACCAGAUAUUGCUUUCUGUCACGGAAACAACAUCCUGAACACGCAGCACUGAAGACAAAGGAGAAUCGAGAUAAUCCAGUUUGCAGGAGAGAACAACGUUGUAGAAAAGAGCUCAUAAAGAGACGUAAUCCAAUCUGAGAAAUUACAGAUUCCUCCCUUCAUAUCAAUGUGUGUGUGUGUGUGUGACUGUGUGCACGAGGCUCAUAUAAGAGGAGGAGCCGCAGAGAGAAAUCUGAGAUCUUAAAUCAUGUAGCGUCUGUGAGGGAAUUUGUUGGCGGUGUACGCGAGAUCAGCUGGUAGCGACACAAACACGCCUCACCUUCUCGCAUCGAGCUCGACCGUACGAGAGCUGUUUGGACGAGGACAUCACGUCUCACUAACGUUACAUCUGGGGGCUGUUGCGUGCACAGUAGGAAAGCUGCACGCUUUCCUUGAAGGUUUGACAGCAUUUCGGAGUUAAAUCCCUUCGGUGUGACAGUGAGGGUUACAUUUCAUUUUAGCUUUGGCACAAAACCUGAAUCCAUCUCUGUGAAAGGAUGAUUCACACCUCCACUAAAUGAAUUAAAGUGGUGAGAACUGAGCCCUGUGUUGUUGGCACACAGUCUAUACAUUAAGUGAGACGUCCACGGAACCUCGUGAAUAUUCAUGCGGAGUCGUUUGUCACGCUGUUCACUCGUGCAGAAACGAUCUGGAUCAGUGCGCCAACAAGCUGGUUUUCCUCUCGCAUGAACACGCUCGCAGAUUUCCGGUUUCUUCUUUUUACUUUCACACGUUAUUUCCCGUAUUUUAAAACUUUUCCUCAUCUUACUCGCUGCUGAAAGGAGGUGGACUCACUCCAGGAUGAAAUGGAUCGGCUUGAUUAACAUGAAGCUAAUUGGCGUUGACCUCCCGUGAGCCCCGCUGGGACGGCGAGGCGCGUGGAACCGGACCUCACGAGUUACACACGAUCCAACGAGCAGCCCGGAGCUCAGACCAGCUAUGGAAUAUAAGUGUUUGGGAAGUUCUGGAAGAGUUUUCGAGAGUGACUCGAGCAUCAAGUGUGUGUGGGACCGCGGCUUUUGCGAGUCCGUCGUGGUCGCUGGCCCCUUCGUACACAAACUCUCUUCCCAGAAGAGAAUCGGCCUCGUUGAGACGAAAACAAACCAAACGAUCUGCGGCAUCUUUCUUCAUCGCGCGUCUGAUUGAUGGCGUUUGAGCUGCAGCGGAGCGGGAAAACAUUUGGAGGCACACGCAGGCGUGACUUGGUGUGCCUGGGCAGAGUGAGGCGUUCGCUCAGGAGUCAUGAGGGCACCGCGUGUGCAAAUACUACCGCGUGUGCAAAUACCCGUUGGGUUUCGCCGAACGCCUCCCUAUCUGGCAGCGCCGAUUUGAAACAAACACUUUAAGAAUCACUUGCAAAUCGCUGUUAAGAUUUAUUGAGACUGUGGGUGUGUGAGUGGGUGUGAGUGGGUGAGGGGAGGGGUUGGCAUGGGG
This is a long non-coding RNA of Gasterosteus aculeatus aculeatus (three-spined stickleback), 4312 nucleotides long. The record is from Ensembl. Lineage: Eukaryota; Metazoa; Chordata; Actinopteri; Perciformes; Gasterosteidae.